This 208-nucleotide unclassified non-coding RNA is filed under the name uncultured Inocybe. RNAcentral's name for it is "sequence contains ITS1". Lineage: Eukaryota; Fungi; Basidiomycota; Agaricomycetes; Agaricales; Cortinariaceae. The record is from RNAcentral.
UUGAAUAAACUUGAACAGGCUGUUGCUCAUCUGGUGCACGCUUGUCAUCUUUAUCUCUCCCACUGUGCACACAUUGUAGACCUGGAGUUUUGAGAACUGCUGUGCUUUCUGAAGUCAGCUUUCUUGUUGUGGUUUUCCUUCUGGGUCUAUGUAAAAUUUUCACAAUCUCUGUAACAUGUUUGGAAUGUUGAAUUUGGAUAACAAUAUA